UACGUAGGGUGCGAGCGUUAAUCGGAAUUACUGGGCGUAAAGCGUGCGCAGGCGGUUUUGUAAGCCAGAUGUGAAAUCCCCGGGCUUAACCUGGGAAUGGCAUUUGGGACUGCAAGGCUGGAGUGCGGCAGAGGAGACUGGAAUUCCUGGUGUAGCAGUGAAAUGCGUAGAUAUCAAGAGGAAUACCGAUGGCGAAGGCAGGUCUCUGGGCUGACACUGACGCUCAUGCACGAAAGCGUGGGGAGCAAACAGG
Molecule: ribosomal RNA, 253 nt
Filed under: uncultured bacterium
Lineage: Bacteria
Description: partial 16S ribosomal RNA
Rfam family: Bacterial small subunit ribosomal RNA
Source: RNAcentral